UGGAGUGUGGAUUAUUGAGAUUAUUUGC
RNAcentral lists this non-coding RNA (28 nucleotides) under Mus musculus (house mouse). Lineage: Eukaryota; Metazoa; Chordata; Mammalia; Rodentia; Muridae. The record is from RNAcentral.